CGCCGCGGGCCAGUCACGCAACGAAACCGUCUCCUCAUCUCCGUCCGCCGUCCGCUGGCGACAUCUCGACGCCCAGAGGUUCCCCGCCUCCUCCCCUCUCCGUGCUGUACUCCUCCCCAUGUGCUCCUCCUUCGCCGCCAACGUCCACCGCAUCCGACGCGGUCCUCGAACGACGCCGCCGUCUAUGACCUCCGCCACCGACGCCCGCUGUCCCUUGACGCGCACCGUCCGCCGCCGGCUCCGCCGUCCUCCAACGCCGCCGACUUCCUCCGCUACCGAAGUCCGCUGUCCCGUGACGCGCACCUUCCGCCGCCGACGCCGUCGACCACUUUCCCACGAAGCCCACGAAACUGCCGCCGCCUGCAGAUCUCCGUACCUGUAGUUCGCCGACGGAGGAGGGGGGUGCGCCCACUGUGCACCGCGGUGAGCGCCAUCCAGCGGGACACGACACUGUGGGGGACGCUGCUUAUUAAGGACCCCCGCUGCUCCGCCGCCGCCCUCGUCCUCGACGUCUGUAGUACGGAGUAAUUUCUUGUAAACGACACUGCAGUUCGAUUAAAAUAUUUGCUAGCGACUUUUGGUUUUGCAGCUUUCCAUCUACUUGUUGGAGGCACUUGGAUGCUAUGGCCUUUAUAUGAUUGGAUUUGGGUUGAUGUUCUUCCCGACCUAUCAUCAAGAAGCCACCACAGGUAGCUGAUGUAGUGAUAGCAAGAAAAGGUAAUUUUUAUCCAAGCAUUCUCAUUGCCAUUUUCUAGGUCAUGAUUUAACCUCUGUGGUUUCUAAUUAUUUUGCGAUAUUUUUCUUUGCCAACAUUUCAACGAGAUCAUGAUACCUUUAUGCUUUGUUAGUUAGAAUUUGAAGUCCAGACAAAGAAACUGUAGUAGUCUGUCACAAUAGUUUCAGUCUAAUGAGUAAUGACCCUAAAUCAGAAUGACUAAAGCUUGAGUAAUGACCGUAAAUCAGAAUAAUGGAGAAAGGUAAAAGUUCACUGCCCCUUCAUGUUGGUUGGUUGCUUGGGCUCUGUAUAGCUAUUAUUAUGCAAAUCAUUACGAUGUUAGGGCAUUUUCUUGCUGCAUCUGAAAUAGUAAUGGAAACUGGACAUGUUUCUACAUACUAACCUCUUGGUCUAGAAUUCCAGAUUGCUAUAUUUCAGCAAUUCUUCUGUUUUUAUUCUUAUGGUAAAGUUUUGGUAUUACUUGUCGAAAUUACUUGACAAAGUAAAAGACUCUGGCCUCUUAUUUUAGUGUCAUGCAUGGUUAUUGGUUUGUGAGAACUAUCCUUGCAUAUGUUUUAUCUUCCGCCAACAGGACCGCAAUUUUUCUCAGAGGUUUUUAUGAUGGGUGAUUUUUUAUCUUUUCAUUCUAUUAGAAAUAUGAUUAUAGGAAUGCAAGAGUCAGUCUUUUCCUGUUUGCCAGAUCUGCAUGAAUGUUCUGUUAUGAAAAUCAGGCUAUUGUAUAAAUGUAUGUCUCAUUUAUUUCUUUUCCAUACUGUUAGUAGAUUUCAUGGAUCUAUUUGUAGUCUCAAACUUAAUGCAUUUACCAAUAUCUUUCCCUAAACUCAAACAGCACGCCAUAACUACGGUCUAUUUGUUCAUAGAACAUGUUAUCUUCUUAUUUUCUAGCACAACUAUUUCCGGAGCUUGAUGUGAUUAUCUAAUUACUCUACUUAUUCGUGCGAUGUUAAUUUGAUCAAACGGUAUACAAGAUAUGUAAUCACAUCAGUUCGUACUGAAUACGACUAGAUGGGUAUAAUUGUAGCUGUACGAUCAAGGCUGUCCAGUCCAUGUCGUAAUCAGGGAAAAACUAUUCGGACCGCUGAGAUUACACCGGCUGCGAAACACGUUGUUCCAGCAAGAGAACAACCUUUCCUGUGCAACCAAGAUCCACGGUCCUGUCCAUGGACCUGGCCAUGGGCAUGAAGGGUGGAGGGCUGGAAGAUAGGCAAGAGAGGGCUGGAAGAUAGGCAAGAGAGGCUGCAGCACUUUAGGGGCAAGGGCGGUAUAUCUAUAUACUACACGGUAUUUUCGGUACUGAUGUUCUUUUAUUUUUCCUCUCUAUUCAAUUUUUUCUACAAUUCAUAGAUAGUUCUAGACUUCCUUUUUAAGCAAACGAAGACUUAUUCACAUGCCAUCGGCAUCAUACGAAAACAGCUCACAUGCAUGAUUGGAUGAUUGAGCUAUGAUAUUUCUCCCGGAGAGGUUGGAUAGACCUUUAUAUAUGAUUAACACCCCAAUGGAAUGCCCAAUUUCCUUAUUUUGAACCAUUGUCAUUUUGGCACAUGCAUGCUGCAUGAUAACUUAAGUUCCUUACAUGUAUCCUAACUCCUAGUUUCUUCUUUUCAGCGAAUUUAAUUUGAUCUAUUAGUUCCAUUCCUCGCAUCACGUCUAUUUAUCGAGGGAGAGCUCCUUCAUGUAGAAACCUUUGCAUUCCAUUGCUACCACAUCCAUCUUAGUCUGGGACGAUGGAUGCACCCGGGUCCAUCGGGUCCAGGUCUGGUACAUACCAGCCCAUACCCGUUGUCGAGUCAAAAAAUCUACCAGACCUGGCCCCGAUUCGGGUCUCGCAGACCCGUGGGUCUACCCGACCCGACCUGCGCCACCUCACAUCUCAGGGUGAACGUUCGAACUGGACCUAGCCCGUGGCGAGCUGAGCCAGCUCGCCCCGAGCCCGAUUUUUUUUAGCCCGAGCCGAGCCCAAGAAAACGGCCCGUCAAAUCUUCAGGGCCGAGCCAAGCCCAGCUGGGUCGAAUUUUUUCUACAAUUCAUAGAAAUUCGCCACGGCCCCGCUGCAUUGCGCCGCCGGCCGCCGCCAUGGAUAAGGUCACCGCAGCCGCCGCGAAGGAGAAGGAGCGCACCAUCGAGCUGCUGUUGUGCCCGGGUGUCUGUGCCUGCGCUGCUGCUUGCUGUUGGUGUUGAUGUGCAUGUACUGCUUCUUGAUGUUGCCGCUGUUGUCUGCUUGCCAGCUAAUGUUGCUCGCUCUGCUACUGACGCUGGUGAUGAUUACUAGCGCUUACGGCGAGGCGUCGAGGUGGUCGGCCUGCCAGUGCCGCUUGCUGUGUGUGCUGGGAGGAGCUCGUCCAGAUCCGGCCGGACGAGGAGCACCCCAUCGAUCUGCAGCGCCAGGCGGAAGCACAGUGGGAGCUCGUUCAGAUCCGUCCGAACAAAGAACGCCAUGGCGAUCUGUAGUGCUAGGCAGAGACGCGGCGAGGAGGAGGAACUAGCGACGUAGAGACUGCUCGUGGAAAUUGACUCGGGAGGAGGCUCGUGCACGGGAGAGAAAGAGUGCAGAGACUGUGGCGGCGUUGAGGCCUUGAGGUAUGGGCCGAGGUCCACCUAGGUAUGGCACAUGUUUGAUGUUUGAAGUCUCUGAAGUCUGAAUCGGGUAUGCAGGUAUGUGAGUUCAGGUCUGGCAUGUGAGUUCGGGUCUGGCAAUACCAGACCCGGACCGCUAGACCCGUCGGGUCCGAAAAUUUAGCAAUAGCAGACCAGUGGGGAUUUAUUUUUACCAAACCCUCGUGCUAAUCGGGUCAAAACCCGUCGGGUAUUCGGGUAUCAGGUCCCCAUUGCCAUUUGUAUCUGGGACCAUAUCAUUAUGGAGAGGCCGUCCUAUUCAUCUACCACUACCACUCCAUAUCACAUUUUAUUUGGGAUGUUCCCCCAUCCAUGUGUGGGUAAUCAGUUGUAGUCACAUAGGUGAAUUAGAAUUGGAGGAUUUUAAACACGUAUGAUGAGAUUUAGGAGGGGUAGAUUUUGGUGCCUUUUCAUGGAUGAGGAAAAGUAAAGAACAAUAUCAAGUGUCAUUUAUAGAAGGAAAGGAGAUGACGAAACGACACCACAAGGAGAGGCCCAUGGGCUCCACGUGCCCCCAGGCGUCCUAGCCCUGGGGCGCACCAACAUGGUGCGUGGACCCGCCUGCCCCCAUGGGGUUGCCCUUUUAAGUGUGCCUUUGUUGUUACAAAAUUGGGGCUACCCUACAGUAAGUUGUCUUCUCCUAUAUGGGAGCGGGCAGAUCCCGCGCACUGUCUGCACCUGGGGGAAAUUGUAGCCAUUGUCGUCCUCGACUCCUUCGCAUAAUGAGGAGCACCGUCGUCACCGCCAUCUUCAUCUCCAUCAAUGAAAACACUGUUACCAUCUCCAUUACCGUUUCCGACUUCAUCCCCUCAUGAUAGGUGUACGUUUAAACUCGCAAUAACUUUUCGGUGUCAUGCAUGUUAUUGAUUGACACCUUGUUUUGCUUUGGUGCCUGAACUCUAUUUCAGAUUGUAUAGUCCUUCGUUAUGCCUAUGACCAUUGCCAUGAUUUGCUGUUGUCACUAGUUUGUUAAGUUACUGAGGCCAUGGGAGAAACUCUAGUCAUGGUUUUUAUACGAUUUACAAUAAGGUUGAGAAAUGGUUUUAUAUUUUGAUGUUAUCUCUAAUUGUAUUGUGUGAACGCCAACUCAUGUUACACUAUUUAUGGGCUUUAGAGGGUGACACCAUGUUAUGAAUUGAGGAGAGAAGGAAGGAGUGACUAGAAACGGUUUCCCCAAUCUUGGAUUUCUUGCAUGGGGGAAUUGUGCAGACCUCGGGUCUUAAUGAUUACACUUUUGCCUUCAUAUUUUUUUUUUGCUCUCAGAUGAUGUAGCUUGAUAUAACCACAAGUUAUAUUUUAUUAGAGAAACUGCAUCGUUGGUCUAUCAACUUGGCAGCCGUGUGCAGAUGGUCAGCGUACAUGAGAACCGUUAAAAACAAGUGUUAUAAUUUGGCAGGUCUGAGCACUUGCGGUCAAAAAUACGAAUUCGUAUGUUCGGAUUGUGACGUGGCAUGCCGACGUGUAGAAAGCAGGCUGAGACGGCCAUUCAAUCUUGCAAAUUGCCCCCUCCUUUCUCGUCCCAGUAUCAACCCCAUUAACCUGAUAUCUCAUCCCGAAACGACGCCCAUAAAAGGGGAGGUGAUGUCAUCAUUGGCAUUGUGCUGCUCGUCUGGCUAGGAGUAUGUUCUCGCGAUUGAUGUCGCGGUGCAAGAUGCAGUCCCUAAACACCUCGUCGCGGUAGGUGAUGCCGCACGUUGUCCCGACGGCGACUGUGAACUGAGGUGUGCAUAGUUCCGGGACUCCCGUUGCUCCGCGCGCUUUGAUCACCUCAUUUGGCGACCCCUUUGCCUCUGUCAUCCCGGAGUUCGAUGAGCUCACUGACGUGAUUGAACGUGACAAUGACCUUGCGAUGGUUCCAACCUAUGUCCUAGCCAACAUGCUGAGGCCCAACAUCGAUGUAGUCACCAUGGGGCUCGUGGGAGGGCGUGGCUCGUCGCGGCGGCGUCGUGCGCAUAACGUGAUCGUUCAGAUGGUGUCUGCGGGACGAGAGUGCUGCGGCGCUUGCCGCUUGUUUCGUCUCUCCGUUGAAUGUUUCCCUCCCACCCCUUCUGUUCUGAUGAGCUUCACGUGUUGCGCCAUGGUGCCGAACAAGAGGCCUGCCAUGAAGGACCCCUACAUCUUCUGGUUUGAUUUUUUUGUUUCCAGAUCCGACAUUUGUUCAUCCUUUGGCAACUUGUCUCCUGCAGCUCCUUCCUCCCUCCUUUGAUUAUGAUUUUUUUGUUUCCAGAUCUGAUAUUCAUGACAUGUACCUGAUAGUUGUUCUUGAAUUUUUAUUUGGGAACCCUCUAAAAUUCUUACUUAGCUCAUGGAAUCUCUUUCCCUUCCUCUCUUUCAUUAUUUGCAAAUUUCGUUGGCUCUCAAAUGUCUGCGGUCGCGAGGCGGCAUGGUAGGCAGAGGUAGUUGAACUUGCUCAAGAACACCUUGCCGUUUGAGCGGUGUGCGCAACGGCCGAUGGCGAGGCUGAUGGGGAUCGAGGAGCUGAGGCAGACUCGCUGAAGGACACCUUGCCGGAGGUGUUGAGGCGCGGCCGGUCGACAACAACACGGUGGCGAUGGAGGUGGGAGGCGCAGUAGAGUGGUUGGAUUUACAACAUUGAAAGAUUUAGGUGUGUUCUGCAAAAAGACAAGUACUUCAUAGUGAAAAGGUGAAAGAUAUGAAGUCUUUGUCGAAAGAGAUGGAGGUGUUGAGGCGCGGCCGGUCGACAAUAGCUGUGGAUGGGGGCGAUGGAGGGUGGGAGGCGUAGUAGAGUGGUUGGAUUUAUAACAUUGAAAGAUUCAUGUGUGUUUUGCAAAAAGACAAGGACUUCAUAGUGAAAAGGCGAAGAGAUGGAGAUCUUUAAAGAAAAUAACAAUCUCCAAGAAACGGACGAGCAUGAUAAUAGGGGACCCAUCCAUAUGCACUACAAGAAUUGGGGUAGUGAUGUUUUGAUUAUGACAGCCUAGUAGACUGUCAUGCAAAUUCAGAAAUCCUGCCGAUUUGGUCUUGGAUGGUUGGAAAGCCCAUGGGCCUUGAGACUAUAUGGGUGGAAAGAGGUGUUCGAUCUUUCUUAUUCUUUGACAAACGUAUGAGAGCAAGAAAAUGGCGUGGACCUAGCCAUUUAGCCCCUGCCUGAUAAAUUGAGGGGUCCCUUGGUAAGAUUACCAUGGGUUGGCGCCAAAAACCAAAAUGGCCUGAAAUGAGCCAUCUAGUCCAUGUCAGCACACAACUUCAUGGACCGAACCGGCGGCACGUGUUUUUGACAACGUUAGCUCAAACGUGCGAAGUUAUAACCCCUGUUCUUACCAGUUUUCAUGUAUGAUGAUGACCAAUCUUCACAUGCCCGCCAAGUUGAUAGACUAACGGUGUGUUUUCCUCAUUUUAUUACGUAUGUGUGUAUAAUUAGCAUUGGCUCCUCAUACAUGAGAAAGAACCGAAUUACCUUUCUUAAACCAUGAAGUAUUGAAGCGUACGAUCCAUAAAAUACCCACAGUGCUAAGGAACAUUUGAUGUUAUUGAAUGCAAUCUUGGGACUGUCCUCAACCAUAUUUUGGGGAUUGGGACACCCAUGAACUUUUAUUAUGAUCUUAGGUAUAUAGUUUCUUGCUUUAUAAUAACCUAGGAAACAAUUGCUACUCAACAUUCUUUUGCGGCAUUUAUGGUUAUCUCUACACCGAUUUCUCACGCCAAUUACUACAUCUCCUCGUUGUGUUCGACACUCUUAUUGAAAUGUGCUAUAAUGGACCCACUACAAUUGUGGGUAUCAUCAUGCAGAACAAUAAAAAGAGUUGAGAGAGGGUAGAGGCAGUGGUGCUAAAAGAGAAGAAGUCAACAAGCUUGUUCUAUAGUAUCUAAUGUGCACAUAAACAUUAUUAUUUACCUCUAGGAUGAUAUGCAUAUUGGGGAUGAGAAAGUCAAUGGCCUUAAUUUUUUUAUGGAUGUUGGGGGAAGCCAUGGCUCCUGUCGGUCACGCCUCCGCCAUUAGGCGCCGUCCGCAAGCAAUAGUGUUGCUCUGUAUAUGCACGCCAAAUAUGUCAAUAUACUUGUUCCUCACUGCCUACCCCCACCCCCAACCAUGCCUCGUCGGAGCUUCGAUGUGGUCGCCAUCGCCUUUUCCUAGCCGCCCAAUGCCUUGACAACAGCACUGGGCGCCUCGAUUUCCUUAUUUCCUACUAUAUCGGCACUAAGUCUUUGACUAGGAGAUAGGGACGGAGAAGGAUUGACGAAGAGGUGGUGCUCAUAGCCAGGCACCAGAGAUGGCGGUUCCGCGCAAGAGGUUCACACGCAUCGGGAUGUGCUCGCCGCUCUCUUUAUCUGCUCGCUUAUCGCUCUACGGUCAUCCUGGAGUUGAGAACUUCGGUGAUUGAUUUGGGAUUAUUAGACAUUGCUUCUCUAAGUACUUUGGAGGCCCAUUGCUUGGUGCAUGAUAACGUGCUGAAUAUUAAAAGUAAAGAGAUAAAUGUUUGAGAGGGUAAAUCUACUUGUUCUUAUUCAACGUGCCUGUUUCACUUACAUCCAUGAUGAGGGGUUGCAUUCAGGAGGCAUCUCAUCCUCAUUAGACACCUGCUUCGAGGAAUGAUCCCUUACGACAACUAUAUUCUAACAAAUAUGAGUAGCUUUUGACAAGAAAUGUCGUUGUAGGCGACAUAAUUAAAUGUAUUCCGAUUUUGGGCCCAUGGGAUCAAACUUCAAUUGCAACUUCAUCUGAAAGGAAUCAGACCUCUUGUUCAUCCUAAAUGUGUGUCAUGACUAAUUCUCUAACUAAUGAUUGAUGUAGACAAGGUUAAUGUCGGUAACAUAUUUUUUUAAAUAUUCCGUCGGCCGCCUACUUAAUGUCUGCCACUUGUUGCUUGACUCACCAUUCCCGUGGGAGCGAAAAACGCGCUUCCCGCCUUAGACAACCCCUCAUCACAUGGAGGGACACUGGUUGAAAGGAGGUACACCCCCUACGUGAACAACCACUAGGCAAUCUUGUGUCUCUGCCAUUAGGCGAACUGCACAUGCAAUACUCCUUUACCCGAUACCUCACCCACACUGGGCCUAGGCGGAGCUCCAGUUGAUUUGUUAUAUACCAGCUUUGAACCAACCGAAUUGUGGUAAUUUCCUUUUCUUGGUUCUGGAGUUUCUUGAGAUGUAGUUUUGCAACAGAGGUGUUCGCUUGAGGCCCCUGCUGUAGAAUCCAAUGGAACACUAGUUGCUUUCACACCAUCGGCCUUUGCAUUAUCAGGUCAGUUGAUUUGUUAUAUACCAGCUUUGAACCAACCGAGUUGUGGUAAUUUUCGUUUCCUGGUUCUGGAGUUCCUUGAGAUGUAGUGUUUGCAACAGAGGUGUCCGCUUGAGGACCCAUCUGUAGUAUCCAAUGCAACACCAGUUGCUUUCACAUCAUCGGCCUUUGCAUUAUUAGGUCCAGUUGAUUUGUUAUAUACUAGCUUUGAACCAACCAAGUUGUGGUAAUUUUCGUUUCCUGGUUCUGGAAUUCCCUGAGAUGUGGUGUUUGCAACAAAGGUGUCCGCUUGAGGCACCUGCUGUAGACUCAAGUCAUGCGUGUGUGGCAAGAGGGUUCAUAUGGUUCCCAAAUGCAGGUGAAUCACCGUUUGCCAGAUGAUUUCAUAUGGUUCCCGUAGCAGCCGGUAGAAGAAGGUUGUGGUUGACGGUUUACCAGUAGGCAAAGACAGCCUGACAUGGUCGGCGACCGAAGGCGGCAGGUGUUUUCUAAGGUGUCCAAGUUUCGUGCCUGUGGUUGAUAGAUUAGGAUGCAGCCAGUGGCCGCAAUACACCCGCAAUGAAUUAUGAAGAAAAUAGAUGAGGAGAUUCACCAUUGAUCUUAGUAUGGCUCCUUAAGAGAAACUUAGAUGAAGUAGUUGUUAUUACUUCAUACCAAGGUUUAUGUAUACAGUAUUCUUCAUCUUGGCAGAUGUGUUUAGUACACACGUCUAGUGUUAAUACCAUGUGAACCUAGAGGUCAUGCUAUCACUACACCUUAUUUAGGUUAUGUUACUUCUAAUAAUAGUAGUACAUGGAAGGAUUUCUACAUACUUGGCCAAUAAGGUUCUAGAGAAAACAGAAUGGAGAUAAGCCAUAUAGAAUCAUUUGCAAAGUAUAUCCGCCAUUUGGUUGAGCCAACACAUUUAGCUUGAUCUUCUUGGUUGAUCCCUUAGAGAUAGGUUUUCAAGUACAUUUUCCAUAUGUUAUUGCCUUAUAAAUGUGUACCUUUUAAGUAGAGCAUUGUGAUCGUACACAUCAUUUACUAACCCUUGUGGCAGCAAUUGCACAUUUACAAGCUUUACGCCAUCACCGCUAGCUCUCAGUUAGGUGAUUCUCCGCCGCCGCAGGUCCGAAGUGUCUGACGAGCAGGCGGUUGUGCUUGCGGGUCGAAGCCGAGCGCCAAAGAGACUGGACCCCGGCGUGGGGAGAUUGGUGUGCGGAAGAGGUUGCUCAUGGGGUCCUUGACGUGCUCGCCUUGCCAGGGCUUCUUGCGGGACGUGCACGCCUUCACCGAGUGCAUCCACACCUCACCUAUGAGUUCUCCCUUCUCUACCCCACUCCUGCCGCCUCUCCAGCUGUCGUCGCCGCGUGCCUCCAUCCCAACAAGCCGUUGGAGGCACCGCAGGACCGACCCGAUGGGCUCGUGUCGACCGCGCGGCGGGGAAGAAGGGUAGCCGGCGCGCGGCGAGGUUUCCCUCUUGCUACAACGCGGCGGGGAUGGUGCAGACGCAGCCCAGCUCACAUUUGGCGAUAACACGAGACCCCUUCCGGCCUGCUCUCACCACCUCCAUCUCCGUAGCCAUGCCGCGUCUACCGUCGAGAUGCCGCCAGAAGCCGUGGCUGCCAUCGCGGCAGCAGCAGCCAUGCCAGCAACGGGUUUCUCAGCCAGUGCUGUGGUCGUUGGAGCCACCACUUCUUCUGCUCCUAGUCCUAGAUGAGGAUCUCGUACCAGAGAACUACUCAUACGUGGACAACGUGGUGUGGCCUCUGAUUUACCAGGCGAUGGAAGGCCACAUGUCGCCUGCCCUCCUCUCCGCUUCCCACGCCGACAAGCUUGCCUACAGGCGAACCAUCCUCUACAAGUGCACUGUACAAGUGUUCCUAACUGUACAAUUCCUCAUGUGACCAUCUUUGUUUAACGGUUUGUCGAGAAUGCAUUAUGAAGAAAAUAGAUGAGGAGGAGAUUGAAUCUUGCUCAGUAUGCACAAUUGGUCUUGGUAUUGCUCCUUAAGAGAAACUCAGGUGAAGUAGCUGUUAUUACUCCGUACCAAGGUUUAUGUAUACAACAUUCUAACUUCAUCUUGGCAGACGUGUUUAGUACACACGGCUAGCAUUAAUACCAUGUGAACCUUCACAGGUCAUGCUCUCACCUUUUUUAGGUUAUGUUAUUUCUAAUAAUAUUAGUACAUGGAAUCAUUUCUGCAUACUUCGACUGUAAGGUUCUAGAGAAAACUGAUUGUCAGAAUGGCGAAAACAUGCUAUUGACA
Long non-coding RNA from Brachypodium distachyon (stiff brome), 10797 nucleotides. RefSeq lists it as uncharacterized. The transcript is spliced from 3 exons. NCBI's taxonomy places the organism in Eukaryota, Viridiplantae, Streptophyta, Magnoliopsida, Poales, Poaceae. The record is from RefSeq and is a predicted model, not a curated record.